RNAcentral lists this ribosomal RNA (400 nucleotides) under uncultured bacterium. Its description in RNAcentral is "bacterial SSU rRNA". It matches the Rfam family "Bacterial small subunit ribosomal RNA", at positions 355 to 771 of the family's 1533-position model. The record is from RNAcentral.
UCAAGAAUAUUCCCCAAUGGCCGAAAGGCUGAGGGAGCGACGCCGCGUGUAGGAAGAAGCCCUUCGGGGUGUAAACUACUUUUCUAUGGGAAGAACAAUGACGGUACCAUGGGAAUAAGGGGCUGCUAACUCUGUGCCAGCAGCAGCGGUAAUACAGAGACCCCGAGCGUUAUCCGGAUUUAUUGGGCGUAAAGCGUCUGUAGGCGUCCUGCUUAGUCUUCGGUUAAAUCCCACCGCUUAACGGUGGAUCAGCCGGAGAUACUGGUAGGAUAGAGGUUGGGAGAGGCAAGCGGAAUUGCCGGUGUAGUAGUAAAAUGCGUUAAUAUCGGCAAGAACACCAAAGGCGAAGGCAGCUUGCUGGAACAUACCUGACGCUGAGAGACGAAAGCGUGGGGAGCGA